RNAcentral lists this ribosomal RNA (678 nucleotides) under Microbacterium sp. M-12-371. Its description in RNAcentral is "bacterial SSU rRNA". It matches the Rfam family "Bacterial small subunit ribosomal RNA", at positions 63 to 755 of the family's 1533-position model. The record is from RNAcentral. Lineage: Bacteria; Bacillati; Actinomycetota; Actinomycetes; Micrococcales; Microbacteriaceae.
CGAACGGUGAAGCCCAGCUUGCUGGGUGGAUCAGUGGCGAACGGGUGAGUAACACGUGAGCAACCUGCCCCUGACUCUGGGAUAAGCGCUGGAAACGGCGUCUAAUACUGGAUAUGUGACGUGACCGCAUGGUCUGCGUCUGGAAAGAAUUUCGGUUGGGGAUGGGCUCGCGGCCUAUCAGCUUGUUGGUGAGGUAAUGGCUCACCAAGGCGUCGACGGGUAGCCGGCCUGAGAGGGUGACCGGCCACACUGGGACUGAGACACGGCCCAGACUCCUACGGGAGGCAGCAGUGGGGAAUAUUGCACAAUGGGCGCAAGCCUGAUGCAGCAACGCCGCGUGAGGGAUGACGGCCUUCGGGUUGUAAACCUCUUUUAGCAGGGAAGAAGCGAAAGUGACGGUACCUGCAGAAAAAGCGCCGGCUAACUACGUGCCAGCAGCCGCGGUAAUACGUAGGGCGCAAGCGUUAUCCGGAAUUAUUGGGCGUAAAGAGCUCGUAGGCGGUUUGUCGCGUCUGCUGUGAAAUCCGGAGGCUCAACCUCCGGCCUGCAGUGGGUACGGGCAGACUAGAGUGCGGUAGGGGAGAUUGGAAUUCCUGGUGUAGCGGUGGAAUGCGCAGAUAUCAGGAGGAACACCGAUGGCGAAGGCAGAUCUCUGGGCGUAACUGACGCUGAGGAGCG